RNAcentral lists this ribosomal RNA (492 nucleotides) under uncultured bacterium. RNAcentral describes it as "partial 16S ribosomal RNA". It matches the Rfam family "Bacterial small subunit ribosomal RNA", at positions 29 to 507 of the family's 1533-position model. The record is from RNAcentral.
AGUGAACGCUGGCGGUAGGCCUAACACAUGCAAGUCGAACGGCAGCACAGUAAGAGCUUGCUCUUACGGGGGGCGAGUGGCGGACGUGUGAGGAAUACAUCGGAAUCUACUUUUUCGUGGGGGAUAACGUAAGUAAACUUACGCUAAUACCGCAUACGACCUACGGGUGAAAGCAGUGGAUCUUCUGACCUUUCGCGAUUGAAUGAGCGGAUGUGGGAUUAGCUAGUUGGCGGGUUAAAGGCCCACCAAGGCGACGAUCCGUAGCUGGUCUGAGAGGAUGAUCAGCCACACUGGAGGGGAGCCAGGGACCAGACUCCUAAGGGAGGACGCAGAGGGGAAUAGUGGACAAUGGGGGCAAGUAUGAUACAGCGAGACGGAGUGGGUGAAGAAGGCCUCGGGGUCGUAAAGACGGUUUGUGGGGAAAGAAAAGCAGCAGGUUAAGACCAAGCUGUUGUGACGGUAACGAAAGAAUAAGCACCGGCUAACUUCGUG